This 1453-nucleotide ribosomal RNA is filed under the name uncultured organism. RNAcentral's name for it is "SSU rRNA". It matches the Rfam family "Bacterial small subunit ribosomal RNA". The record is from RNAcentral.
AUGAACGCUAGCUACAGGCUUAACACAUGCAAGUCGAGGGGCAGCAUUUCAGUUUGCUUGCAAACUGGAGAUGGCGACCGGCGCACGGGUGAGUAACACGUAUCCAACCUGCCGAUAACUCGGGGAUAGCCUUUCGAAAGAAAGAUUAAUACCCGAUGGUAUAAUCAGACCGCAUGGUCUUGUUAUUAAAGAAUUUCGGUUAUCGAUGGGGAUGCGUUCCAUUAGGCAGUUGGUGAGGUAACGGCUCACCAAACCUUCGAUGGAUAGGGGUUCUGAGAGGAAGGUCCCCCACAUUGGAACUGAGACACGGUCCAAACUCCUACGGGAGGCAGCAGUGAGGAAUAUUGGUCAAUGGGCGCAGGCCUGAACCAGCCAAGUAACGUGAAGGAUGACUGCCCUAUGGGUUGUAAACUUCUUUUAUAUGGGAAUAAAGUUUUCCACGUGUGGAAUUUUGUAUGUACCAUACGAAUAAGCAUCGGCUAACUCCGUGCCAGCAGCCGCGGUAAUACGGAGGAUCCGAGCGUUAUCCGGAUUUAUUGGGUUUAAAGGGAGCGUAGGUGGACAGUUAAGUCAGUUGUGAAAGUUUGCGGCUCAACCGUAAAAUUGCAGUUGAUACUGGCUGUCUUGAGUACAGUAGAGGUGGGCGGAAUUCGUGGUGUAGCGGUGAAAUGCUUAGAUAUCACGAAGAACUCCGAUUGCGAAGGCAGCUCACUGGACUGCAACUGACACUGAUGCUCGAAAGUGUGGGUAUCAAACAGGAUUAGAUACCCUGGUAGUCCACACAGUAAACGAUGAAUACUCGCUGUUUGCGAUAUACAGUAAGCGGCCAAGCGAAAGCAUUAAGUAUUCCACCUGGGGAGUACGCCGGCAACGGUGAAACUCAAAGGAAUUGACGGGGGCCCGCACAAGCGGAGGAACAUGUGGUUUAAUUCGAUGAUACGCGAGGAACCUUACCCGGGCUUAAAUUGCAUUUGAAUAUAUUGGAAACAGUAUAGCCGUAAGGCAAAUGUGAAGGUGCUGCAUGGUUGUCGUCAGCUCGUGCCGUGAGGUGUCGGCUUAAGUGCCAUAACGAGCGCAACCCUUAUCUUUAGUUACUAACAGGUCAUGCUGAGGACUCUAGAGAGACUGCCGUCGUAAGAUGUGAGGAAGGUGGGGAUGACGUCAAAUCAGCACGGCCCUUACGUCCGGGGCUACACACGUGUUACAAUGGGGGGUACAGAAGGCAGCUACCUGGUGACAGGAUGCUAAUCCCAAAAGCCUCUCUCAGUUCGGAUCGAAGUCUGCAACCCGACUUCGUGAAGCUGGAUUCGCUAGUAAUCGCGCAUCAGCCAUGGCGCGGUGAAUACGUUCCCGGGCCUUGUACACACCGCCCGUCAAGCCAUGAAAGCCGGGGGUACCUGAAGUACGUAACCGCAAGGAGCGUCCUAGGGUAAAACUGGUAAUUGGGGCUAAG